UUAGCAUCUAUAAGGGCAAACCAACAAAAUGAGACGUAUCAACAUUGCAACACCGACUGACAUUAUUUUCAGGCAAUCAUAUUAUCCCCAUUACGAAUAUUGUUAGUGUUUACUGCCAUGUAGAAGCUUUUUCAGAGCAAACUGAUUUAUUUCCCCCAAAAAAGAUAUUUUAAGGACGACUUGCAAAACCAUGUGCUAACAAAAUGUUCUUCCUAUGGAGGAAAACUUGGACAUUAACAAGUACUCCAAGGUGUCAAGCGUCAGAAUGGAUAACCAGACAAGAUAGAUAUAAUACAAGAAAUAAAAAAGCUAUCAUUAGUAUAAAGGAAAAAUAGUGAAUGUUUGGUAAUAACUAAAGACAGUUAGGGAGCAAUGAGAAGGGAUAUAAGAAUUACUUAAGCUGAAAAAGGAUUAUUUUCAAGCAGCAGAACACCACCUUAAGGAUUGAAGAGAUUGGAUCCCCCAACAUUGAGAGCAAUUAGUAGUGAUAUGCUAGUAAUCAC
RNAcentral lists this long non-coding RNA (503 nucleotides) under Phaseolus vulgaris (common bean). RNAcentral's name for it is "long non-coding RNA (PVUL_LNC000049)". Lineage: Eukaryota; Viridiplantae; Streptophyta; Magnoliopsida; Fabales; Fabaceae. The record is from RNAcentral.